GACGAACGCUGGCGGCGUGCCUAACACAUGCAAGUCGAGCGGAGGUACAAUGAGAGCAAUCGAGAUGUACUUUAGCGGCGGACGGGUGAGUAACGCGUGAGCAACCUGCCCAUCACAGGGGGAUAAGGCGGCGAAAGCCGCUCUAAUACCGCAUGAGACCCUCAAAGCGAUGCAAUGGGGGUGAAAGGAGCGAUCCGGUGAGAGAUGGGCUCGCGUCCGAUUAGGUAGUUGGUAGGGUAAGGGCCUACCAAGCCAAUGAUCGGUAGCCGGCCUGAGAGGGUGAACGGCCACAUUGGAACUGAGAGACGGUCCAAACUCCUACGGGAGGCAGCAGUGGGGAAUAUUGGGCAAUGGGCGAAGCCUGACCCAGCAACGCCGCGUGAGGGAAGAAGGUUUUCGGAUUGUAAACCUCUGUUCUUGGGGAAGAGGAGGAGACGGUACCCAAGGAGGAAGCCCCGGCUAACACGUGCCAGCAGCCGCGGUAAGCACGAAGAGUA
RNAcentral lists this ribosomal RNA (497 nucleotides) under uncultured bacterium. RNAcentral's name for it is "bacterial SSU rRNA". It matches the Rfam family "Bacterial small subunit ribosomal RNA", at positions 28 to 534 of the family's 1533-position model. The record is from RNAcentral.